AUUGAACGCUGGCGGCAUGCCUUACACAUGCAAGUCGAACGGCAGCAUGGAAGAGCUUGCUCUUCUGAUGGCGAGUGGCGAACGGGUGAGUAAAGCAUCGGAACGUACCGUGUAGUGGGGGAUAACGUAGCGAAAGUUACGCUAAUACCGCAUACGCACUGAGGUGGAAAGCAGGUGAUCGCAAGACCUUGCGCUAUACGAGCGGCCGAUGUCAGAUUAGCUAGUUGGUAGGGUAAAGGCCUACCAAGGCGACGAUCUGUAGCGGGUCUGAGAGGAUGAUCCGCCACACUGGGACUGAGACACGGCCCAGACUCCUACGGGAGGCAGCAGUGGGGAAUUAUGGACAAUGGGGGAAACCCUGAUCCAGCCAUGCCGCGUGAGUGAAGAAGGCCUUCGGGUUGUAAAGCUCUUUCGGCUGGGAAGAAAUCGCACAGGCUAAUACUCUGUGUGGAUGACGGUACCAGCACAAGAAGCACCGGCUAACUACGUGCCAGCCGCCGCCGUAA
This 506-nucleotide ribosomal RNA is filed under the name uncultured bacterium. RNAcentral's name for it is "partial 16S ribosomal RNA". It matches the Rfam family "Bacterial small subunit ribosomal RNA", at positions 30 to 523 of the family's 1533-position model. The record is from RNAcentral.